CUUUGUAUGAUUAUGGGCGUUGAUUGGUAGUGGUCACUGGUUGGACGUUAUUUGCUGGUGUGUAUAUUGUGAUUGAGAUUGCUCGGGGUAAUAGGUUAUGUGAUUAGAAGAAGGAUUAUAAGGAGUGGGAAGAAGAAAGAGAGGAAGUACAGUUUGAUCAAACCUUUUUGGGUAGAGGUGGUGAUGGAGGCUGAGAUUUGAGCCUAGCCACACCCCCACGGGAGACAGCAGUGAUAAACCUUUAGCAAUAAACGAAAGUUUAACUAAGCCAUACUAACCCCAGGGUUGGUCAAUUUCGUGCCAGCCACCGCGGUCACACGAUUAACCCAAGUCAAUAGAAACCGGCGUAAAGAGUGUUUUAGAUCAAUCCCCCAAUAAAGCUAAAAUUCAUCUGAGUUGUAAAAAACUCCAGCUGAUAUAAAAUAAACUACGAAAGUGGCUUUAAUAUAUCUGAACACACAAUAGCUAGGACCCAAACUGGGAUUAGAUACCCCACUAUGCCUAGCCCUAAACUUCAACAGUUAAAUUAACAAAACUGCUCGCCAGAACACUACGAGCCACAGCUUAAAACUCAAAGGACCUGGCGGUGCUUCACAUCCUUCUAGAGGAGCCUGUUCUGUAAUCGAUAAACCCCGAU
This 637-nucleotide non-coding RNA is filed under the name Gorilla gorilla gorilla (western lowland gorilla). RNAcentral describes it as "Bacterial small subunit ribosomal RNA". It matches the Rfam family "Bacterial small subunit ribosomal RNA", at positions 231 to 965 of the family's 1533-position model. Lineage: Eukaryota; Metazoa; Chordata; Mammalia; Primates; Hominidae. The record is from Rfam by way of RNAcentral.